Molecule: ribosomal RNA, 479 nt
Filed under: uncultured bacterium
Lineage: Bacteria
Description: partial 16S ribosomal RNA
Rfam family: Bacterial small subunit ribosomal RNA
Source: RNAcentral
GAUGAACGCUCGCGGGAGGCCUAACACAUGCAAGCCGAGCGGUAUUUGUUCCUCGGAACAGCGAGAGCGGCGCACGGGUGCGGAACACGUGUGCAACCUGCCUUUAUCUGGGGGAUAGCCUUUCGAAAGGAAGAUUAAUACCCCAUAAUAUAUUGAGUGGCAUCAUUUGAUAUUGAAAACUCCGGUGGAUAGAGAUGGGCACGCGCAAGAUUAGAUAGUUGGUGAGGUAACGGCUCACCAAGUCAAUGAUCUUUAGGGGGCCUGAGAGGGUGAUCCCCCACACUGGUACUGAGACACGGACCAGACUCCUACGGGAGGCAGCAGUGAGGAAUAUUGGACAAUGGGUUAGCGCCUGAUCCAGCCAUCCCGCGUGAAGGACGACGGCCCUAUGGGUGGUAAACUUCUUUUGUAUAGGGAUAAACCUACUCUCGUGAGAGUAGCUGAAGGUACUAUACGAAUAAGCACCGGCUAACUCCGUG